AGAGUUUGAUCCUGGCUCAGGAUGAACGCUGGCGGCGUGCCUAAUACAUGCAAGUCGAGCGAGAAAUUAAGAAGAUGCGUUUUCGGACAAGUCAUCUUAAUGGAAAGCGGCGGACGGGUGAGUAACGCGUAGGCAACCUGCCCUUAGCAGAGGGAUAGCCAUUGGAAACGAUGAUUAAAACCUCAUAAUGCCGGUUUUACACAUGUUGAACCGGCCAAAGAUUUAUCGGCUAAGGAUGGGCCUGCGUCUGAUUAACUAGUUGGUGAGGUAACGGCUCACCAAGGUGACGAUCAGUAGCCGACCUGAGAGGGUGAUCGGCCACAUUGGAACUGAGACACGGUCCAAACUUCUACGGAAGGCAGCAGUAAGGAAUCUUGCACAAUGGGGGAAACCCUGAUGCAGCAACGCCGCGUGAACGAUGAAGGCCUUCGGGUUGUAAAGUUCUGAUCUUGGGGAAGAAGAAAGUGACGGUACCUCAGGAGAAAGCCCCGGCUAAAUACGUGCCAGCAGCCGCGGUAAUACGUAUGGGGCAAGCGUUAUCCGGAAUUAUUGGGCGUAAAGAGUGCGUAGGUGGUUACCUAAGCGCAAGGUUUAAUCUUGAGGCUCAACCUCAUUCUGCCUUGCGAACUGGGCUACUUGAGUGCAGGAGGGGAAAGCGGAAUUCCCAGUGUAGCGGUGAAAUGCGUAGAUAUUGGGAAGAACACCGGUGGCGAAGGCGGCUUUCUGGACUGUAACUGACACUGAGGGCACGAAAGCGUGGGGAGCAAACAGGAUUAGAUACCCUGGUAGUCCACGCCGUAAACGAUGAGCACUAGUUGUUGGGUACGAAUGUAUUCAGUGACGCAGUUAACGCAAUAAGUGCUCCGCCUGGGGAGUACGGUGGCAACACUAAAACUCAAAGGAAUUGACGGGGACCCGCACAAGCAGCGGAGCAUGUGGUUUAAUUCGAAGCAACGCGAAAAACCUUACCAGGGCUUGACAUCCCUCUGACCGGAUCUUAACCGAUCCUUUCUUCGGACAGAGGUGACAGGUGGUGCAUGGUUGUCGUCAGCUCGUGUCGUGAGAUGUUGGGUUAAGUCCCGCAACGAGCGCAACCCUUGUGGUCAGUUACUAACAUUAAGUUGAGGACUCUGACGAGACUGCCGAGGUCAACUCGGAGGAAGGUGGGGAUGACGUCAAAUCAUCAUGCCCCUUAUGCUCUGGGCUACACACGUGCUACAAUGGCCGGUACAAUGAGAAGCAAAAUGGCGACAUGGAGCAAAUCACCAAAACCGGUCCCAGUUCGGAUUGCAGGCUGCAACUCGCCUGCAUGAAGUCGGAGUUGCUAGUAAUCGCGAAUCAGCAUGUCGCGGUGAAUGCGUUCCCGGGUCUUGUACACACCGCCCGUCACACCAUGGAAGUUGGGGGCGCCCAAAGUUGGCUAAUCAAUCUGCUACCUAAGGCGAAACCAAUGACUGGGGUGAAGUCGUAACAAGGUAACCGUA
RNAcentral lists this ribosomal RNA (1484 nucleotides) under uncultured rumen bacterium. Its description in RNAcentral is "bacterial SSU rRNA". It matches the Rfam family "Bacterial small subunit ribosomal RNA". The record is from RNAcentral.